GGUCCUCCUUGCAGCCAAAUACCUCCGCAGGGAAAUUACCUGCAAGGGUUUUUAAGGUGAUCCGUCCCCCCCCCCAACAGACACACACUGACCAGCAUCCAGGGGGAUUCCAUCAAAUGCUGGAAGGUGGGAUGUAAAAACAGGGUAAACAAAGAAAUAAACCUUGCACACUCUAAUGUCCUCCCAGCUAAUGUCUCUCCCUCCCUCUCGUUCCUUUUUUCUUCCUCCCUCAUUCCUUCCCUUUUUCUUUCUUCCUUCCUCCCUUCCCGAAGGGGCCAGGACCUCCCUUAGACCACAGUGAUUCCGCCCGGAAGUUGCAAAUCCUCCAGCUCGGUUAGAGACGACGCGUAGCAGAGAACGGCCUUAGCAGAUGUACACCCCCNAAACUGUCCCAGACGUGACCCUGAGAAGCUCUGGAGAGGUCCCGCUACAGGUAGCACGAAGUACAGAAUGUGAGUUCAUGACGGCCCAUAGACAGGCCUUUUUGGUGGUGACUCCUCUCUGNCUUUAAUAAGGUGNGUACAAUUACAACUUUCNGAUGUCUGAUUAAAUGGUCNGCCAUUGAGACGAAGGAACGGGUANUUGGUUCGAUUGUCAUUCGCGCACAUAUCUUAACUGGAGAGUUCCGGCUUUGACCGAUUUGGACAAUCCCUUCCUAAAUUUAUUUAUUUUGAAAUGAAGGAGUACAUAGUCCAAAGGUUCCAAAGUGUAUUACUGGAAAAUAAACACAAAGACAAGGAUAAAAAUUUGAGUGGUAAAACAAGUCUUCAGUUCUCACCACCAACCUAGAAAAAACACAGAGAUGGCAGAGAAAGGGCCAUACCUUAGAACAAAUCACCUGCUUCAAGUAUCUUUAAUUGUCGUAUUCUCCAAAGAGGUUCUUUUUUUUUUUUUGCCUUUUUACAAGGGUGUUGGGGGCACAGGGGAUAGAGGAAAGGCGAGAAUUUAUCUCAGAACGUGCCUAUGUCAAGAGAAAUACGAAGCCUCUGGGUUUUUACAUCAAAGUCUAUAACAGGUUCCCACAACGGCAAACAUACAGUGAUUUACACUCGAGCAAGGAACGCAUCACAAAAUAAACAAACGCCUUCAUUCUUUACUAGCGAACAGACUACAGGUUAUAAGGGAGCUCACUGUUUUGUUUUGUUUCCGAUUGACAAAAACCAGGGAAGAUGCCUGGCCCCACCACCAACGAGGCCAUGCUUGUGACGACGAGAGAAUGAAAGUAAUCCUUUACCUUCCCUGAACCUUUGGAGAGGGCAGCCGGUAAAAGGUUUGAAAGCCCAGGGAAUUUUCGGCUGCAGAAGGCUGACCAGGAGGAAGAG
This 1322-nucleotide long non-coding RNA is filed under the name Salvator merianae (Argentine black and white tegu). Its description in RNAcentral is "lncRNA (ENSSMRG00000008043.1)". Lineage: Eukaryota; Metazoa; Chordata; Lepidosauria; Squamata; Teiidae. The record is from RNAcentral.